GGAAGUUAGGAUCGGCUUCCCCGCCUUCCCUCCAGACUGCCUGUCUCUCCAGAAGGAAGCUUGUGUGAGGACGUGGAGCUGUAGGAGCCCUCAGCUGGGCCUCUGCUUUCUUCUCUGAGAAGCCCAGCCUGGCCCCAGGAGAAGGAGCUGGAAAACUUCAGGCCUGGCUUGGGCUGCCAUGAGGAAAGUGGAUAAGGCUGCAGCCCGGAUUGUUUCCUGGAGACGACGAUCGUGGAGAUGGUUAUGCCUGACCUUUGUACAGCACUUCACAGUUGGCACAGAGUUUCCGCAUGUGCCGUACCGUCACAACGCUGUGUUUUGGGAAGCACAGAGCACCUGCCACGUGUCAGGGAGCUCACCACUGCCGAGAGGAGGAGACCCCACAAAUGCAGGCCACUGCAGUUCAGUGGACGAGAGGCAUGAUCAGGAACAGGCUGCUCCAGCAGCAUCAAGUUACUCUGCCAAUAACCUCCCAGAGGGAGUGACUCAGCAGCUGACCAAAAAGAUAAGUCGGAGGGACACAGGCAAAGGGAGCAAGAGGACAGGGCUCGGGCUCGAGGACGCCUCACCUGCAAAGACCACGAUGCAAAGAGCCAUGCAAAGGGCUUGCAGCGAGGCCUCCCCAUGGCAGCAGCUGAAGCCAGCGUGCAGAUUUUCCAACACGAGCAGAGUUAGCUUCCUCACAUCCCAUCGGAGACAUCAGCGCCAGCCCAGCAGGGCCCCCUCCUCAGCGGUCUGCCC
RNAcentral lists this long non-coding RNA (741 nucleotides) under Equus caballus (horse). Its description in RNAcentral is "lncRNA (ENSECAG00000054965.1)". The record is from RNAcentral. Lineage: Eukaryota; Metazoa; Chordata; Mammalia; Perissodactyla; Equidae.